UUCAUGGCAACAGAAUCCACAACAACAAUGACUUUGAUCAGUAUCUUCAUCUGGGCACUUGUCAUCUGCACUCAGGAAUCCAGUGGACAGUAUACUGUGACUCAGACUCCAGCAGUGAAAUCUGUUCUCCCUGGAGACACAGUCGCUCUGAGCUGUAAAGUCAGCAGCGCAGUGUACGAUAACAACGAACUAGCCUGGUACCAACAGAAACCUGGAGAAGCUCCCAAACUCCUGAUCUAUUAUGCAAGUACCCUUCAGUCUGGGAUCCCAACUCGUUUCAGUGGCAGUGGAUCUGGGACUGACUUCACUCUGACCAUCAGUGGAGUCCAGGCUGAAGAUGCAGGAGAUUACUACUGUCAGAGUGCACACAGUGGCUAUGUGUUCACACAGUGCUACAAACCCGUACAAAAACCUCCCUCAGCAGGACUGCACAGCAACUGCACUGCUGCAGCUGGGACCUACUGCAGGUGCUGAGGGUGAAGGCAAUGAAACGGGACACGGCCUGUGGAGGAGCUCAACUGCACACUAACACACUGAGCUCAAUAACAACACACAGUUACAUGUAGGUAUGGAUUCAAUAUUAGUCUAUUUAAACAAACUGAUUUUGUUGUGACUACAUGGUCAUCUAGUAAUGUAGUGAUGAUACCAUCUAUUCUAAAUUCUGAAACAUCAUUCAGUUAUUCCAAGAAUUGUAAAAAUGUAACUCAUGUUUUUCAUAUCUGAUUCUCAUAUGAAGAUGUCCAUGAAUCCUGGGCUGGGUUGCACCAGCUGUGUGUAAGUUCUUACUUAGCUUAGUUAUAGUGUAAGUCUUACUAACUUUAAUUUAACACAUUACUACAUUGACACUAGUUGCACCAGGUAAGAUAGUUCUAACACAAGGCUUAGUUGUUGUUUAAAAUGUAUCCAUACCUUUGAGUGGGUGUAAUCUAUUCGUAGAAUCACAUUUCCAGGCGGCUCAGCAGCUGUUGCUGCUUCUCUUUCAUGCUGAUUUUAGUUUUUCGGCGUCAGCAUAUCUUGCGAGGCCGCAUACAUCCUCUUGACAGUUAAGAUAUUGACAUUGAUGCCGUUUUAGAUGAGAGAAUAUUCUGAUCACUGAUUAUGUGUGUG
Molecule: non-coding RNA, 1107 nt
Organism: Acipenser ruthenus (sterlet)
Lineage: Eukaryota; Metazoa; Chordata; Actinopteri; Acipenseriformes; Acipenseridae
Source: the annotation of a RefSeq genome assembly